Molecule: ribosomal RNA, 191 nt
Filed under: uncultured bacterium
Lineage: Bacteria
Description: partial 16S ribosomal RNA
Rfam family: Bacterial small subunit ribosomal RNA
Source: RNAcentral
AACCCGCCUGCAUGAAGUUGGAAUCGCUAGUAAUCGCGGAUCAGCAUGCCGCGGUGAAUACGUUCCCGGGCCUUGUACACACCGCCCGUCACACCAUGAGAGUCGGGAACACCCGAAGUCCGUAGCCUGACCGCAAGGGGGCGCGGCCGAAGGUGGGUUCGAUAAUUGGGGUGAAGUCGUAACAAGGUAGC